GAUGAACGCUGGCGGCGUGCCUAAUACAUGCAGGUCGAGCGAACAGAUAAGGAGCUUGCUCCUUUGACGUUAGCGGCGGACGGGUGAGUAACACGUGGGUAACCUAUCUAUAAGACUGGAAUAACUCCGGGAAACCGGGGCUAAUGCCGGAUAACAUGUUGAACCGCAUGGUUCUACAGUGAAAGGCGGCUUUGCUGUCACUUAUAGAUGGACCCGCGCCGUAUUAGCUAGUUGGUGAGGUAACGGCUCACCAAGGCAACGAUACGUAGCCGACCUGAGAGGGUGAUCGGCCACACUGGAACUGAGACACGGUCCAGACUCCUACGGGAGGCAGCAGUAGGGAAUCUUCCGCAAUGGGCGAAAGCCUGACGGAGCAACGCCGCGUGAGUGAUGAAGGUCUUCGGAUCGUAAAACUCUGUUAUUAGGGAAGAACAAAUGCGUAAGUAACUGUGCGCGUCUUGACGGUACCUAAUCAGAAAGCCACGGCUAACUACGUG
This 497-nucleotide ribosomal RNA is filed under the name uncultured bacterium. RNAcentral's name for it is "partial 16S ribosomal RNA". It matches the Rfam family "Bacterial small subunit ribosomal RNA", at positions 28 to 507 of the family's 1533-position model. The record is from RNAcentral.